RNAcentral lists this ribosomal RNA (451 nucleotides) under uncultured bacterium. Its description in RNAcentral is "partial 16S ribosomal RNA". It matches the Rfam family "Bacterial small subunit ribosomal RNA", at positions 29 to 523 of the family's 1533-position model. The record is from RNAcentral.
AGCGAACGCUGGCGGCAGGCUUAACACAUGCAAGUCGAACGAAGCCUUCGGGCUUAGUGGCGGACGGGUGAGUAACACGUGGGAACGUACCUUUUGGUUCGGAACAACACAGGGAAACUUGUGCUAAUACCGAAUGAGCCCUUAGGGGGAAAGAUUUAUCGCCAUUAGAGCGGCCCGCGUUGGAUUAGCUAGUUGGUGGGGUAAAGGCCCACCAAGGCUACGAUCCAUAGCUGGUCUGAGAGGAUGAUCAGCCACACUGGGACUGAGACACGGCCCAGACUCCUACGGGAGGCAGCAGUGGAGAAUCUUGCGCAAUGGGCGAAAGCCUGACGCAGCAACGCCGCGUGGAGGAUGAAGGCCCUCGGGUCGUAAACUCCUUUUGCGAGGGAAGAAGAUCUGACGGUACCUCGCGAAUAAGCCACGGCUAACUACGUGCCAGCAGCCGCCGUAA